AGUAAGUCUUAUUAUGGAUGUUUUCAUAACAUUUAAAUGUUUUUUAGUCUCUGCUAGAAACACUAAAAUACUGAGUAAAUUUUACGACACUAUUUUAGAGUGCGUUUGAAUCAGCGCAUGCGCAUUGGGACAAACGAAAGUACCGCGCAGAUGUCCAUUGUCCGUCCGUUCGUUGGCAGCAGACAGAGUUGUGAAUAUCUCCGGAAUCUCUCAGGUAAGUAACAGCUUUAUCCAUUAAAUAAUUUAUUAUCAGUUUAAAACGCGUUUUGGUGAUUAGUUUGAAGCACUGUAUGGACUGCACACCGAGCGGUCUACACCAAGGUUUGUGUGAUGUAGCUUGAUGCUAGCUAGCUAGUUAUUAGCCAGUUCAUUCCACCAGAGUCGCACACCGCGCGGUUAAUUUGCGAGAUACUAUAUCUUAUUCAGAGCUAUUGUAUUUUGUCUCAUGUACUGUCCCGUGUAGUGCGAAUAUAACACAACGUAUGUUUGAUGUAUCUUCUGCAGGAAGACAGAUCUACUGUGUGUCACAGUUUCACACACAUUCUGCCCCUGUCCUAGACAACACAAAUUCUCACUCUCUGUAACAUACUUCUCCUUUCCACACAUGGAAACAAACCACUGCUCCUUGCAAGUAUUCGUAUCUUCUGACAUGAUAGUAUAUUGUGUACAAAUUAUUGUUUGCAACUGAUGCUAUUACUCCUUUCACAGAACCCGAGCACUGACAUGUGACGUGACGCAGUUAUCAGUGGCCUCAUACUAUUCCUUGGUGAAAAAGAAGAGAAACUUUUCGAAGAUUGCCUGGAGGACAAUCGCAGUGAUGCCACUCAACACAUAGUCAAGAUCCUGGUUGUCCAUGGUACUGAUGGAGAAGAACCAGUAGAUGUUUCCAUCAUUCUUGAAGGGAAGGAGGUAUUGACACGAUGCAACAGCACAGCCAAAGCUUGCACGUUGCUAAUGGGACUGAUUUAUUCCCUGAACCUUGCCUACCCCUGGACUCUGCGCUACACCUUUGAGGUGUUUCAAAAACUUUUCCUGGAACUGAAUGGGAUAAAGCUGUCACCAAAAGUACAUCUUUAAAGUUGAAGUUGCUGUCUGAAAGGAGUUUUCUUUCUUAAAUGUUCCUAAUGUUGUCAACAAAGGCAACUGCUGUCAUUCAUGCUCACAAGGUAAAAAAAAAGUUAAAAAUAACCUUUGUUUUAAAGGUUUUAACAGAGGAUUUGAUGUUGUCCUCAAACUUUAAUGUUUUAACCGAAUGCUAAUAUAAAUAUGUUAAUG
Gasterosteus aculeatus aculeatus (three-spined stickleback) is the source of this 1275-nucleotide long non-coding RNA. Lineage: Eukaryota; Metazoa; Chordata; Actinopteri; Perciformes; Gasterosteidae. The record is from Ensembl.